CUGAAUAAGGGAGUGAAAUAGUACCUGAAACCGUGUGCUUACAAGCGGUCGGAGCUUCUUCGUGAAGUGACGGCGUGCCUUUUGCAUAAUGAUCCUACGAGUUGCUCCUCACUAGCGAGGUUAAGGGCUGAAGGCCCGGAGCCGAAGCGAAAGCGAGUCUGAAUAGGGCGUAUAGUUAGUGGGGGCAGACGCGAAACCUAGUGAUCUACCCAUGGCCAGGGUGAAGCUUUGGUAACACAAAGUGGAGGCCCGAACCCGUUGACGUUGAAAAGUCUUGGGAUGAGCUGUGGGUAGGGGUGAAAGGCUAAUCAAACUGGGAAAUAGCUCGUACUCCCCGAAAUGUAUUUAGGUACAGCCUUGAGUGUAGUGUAUUAGAGGUAGAGCUACUGGUUGGAUGCGGGGGCUUCACCGCCUACCAAGUCCUGUCAAACUCCGAAUGCUAAUACAUGUUCCUCAGGAGUGAGGGCCGGGGUGCUAAGGUCACGGUCCGAGAGGGAAACAACCCAGAUCAUCUGCUAAGGUCCCAAAAUAUAUGCUAAGUUGAACAAACGAGGUCGGGCUGCUUUGACAGCUAGGAUGUUGGCUUGGAAGCAGCCAUUCAUUUAAAGAGUGCGUAACAGCUCACUAGUCGAGCGGUUCGGCAUGGAUAAUAAUCGGGCAUAAACAUACUACCGAAGCUAUGGACUUGUAAAAGUGGUAGGGGAGCAUUGUAGUGUCGUCGAAGGUGAAGCGUGAGCUUUGCUGGAGAAGCUACAAAAGAAAAUGUAGGCAUAAGUAACGAUAAUGCGGGCGAGAAACCCGCACACCGAAAGACUAAGGUUUCCUCAGCUAUGCUAAUCAGCUGAGGGUUAGUCGGGACCUAAGGCGAACCCGAACGGGGUAGUCGAUGGAUAACUGGUUAAUAUUCCAGUACUCGCUUUAACUGCGAUGGGGUAACGAAGGUGUGACAGCUCCGCGUACUGACGGAAUAGUACGUUGAAGCCCGUAGGUAUAGGUUGGAUAGGCAAAUCCGUCCGACUUGCUGAAAGGUGAUAGUACUCCAAGGCUUCGGCUGCGGAGAUAGUGAGUGUAAUCAGACUUCCAAGAAAAACCUCUAAGCUUCAGGUUAAAGCGACUCGUACCGUAAACCGACACAGGUGGGUGAGGAGAGUAUCCUCAGGUGCUCGAGUGAAUCAUGGCUAAGGAACUAGGCAAAAUCGCCCCGUAACUUCGGGAGAAGGGGCGCCUCCGCGAGGAGGCCGCAGUGAAUAGGCCCAGGCGACUGUUUAGCAAAAACACAGGACUCUGCUAAAUCGAAAGAUGAUGUAUAGGGUCUGACACCUGCCCGGUGCUGGAAGGUUAAGAGGAGAUGUUAUCGCAAGAGAAGCAUUGAAUUGAAGCCCCAGUAAACGGCGGCCGUAACUAUAACGGUCCUAAGGUAGCGAAAUUCCUUGUCGGGUAAGUUCCGACCUGCACGAAUGGUGUAACGAUCUGGGCACUGUCUCAGCCAUGAGCUCGGUGAAAUUGUAGUAUCGGUGAAGAUGCCGAUUACCCGCAGCGGGACGAAAAGACCCCGUGAACCUUUACUAUAGCUUAGUAUUGGCUUUGGAUAAG
This 1593-nucleotide ribosomal RNA is filed under the name marine metagenome. RNAcentral's name for it is "bacterial LSU rRNA". It matches the Rfam family "Bacterial large subunit ribosomal RNA", at positions 526 to 2131 of the family's 2925-position model. The record is from RNAcentral.